Pipistrellus kuhlii (Kuhl's pipistrelle) is the source of this 138-nucleotide small nucleolar RNA. RefSeq annotates it as small nucleolar RNA SNORA29. The transcript has a single exon. The record is from RefSeq and is a predicted model, not a curated record. Lineage: Eukaryota; Metazoa; Chordata; Mammalia; Chiroptera; Vespertilionidae.
UUUCCCUUUGACUACCACAUAUUCCCCUAACUAUAGAUUGCAGUGGAUAUGCUGAAGGGACAGGUUAUAAUUGCCAUGAUCUGAAAGGGAGGAUUUAUUUGUGUCCUCUACAUAUAUGAAAUGGUUGAACAAAAACAA